CAAUAGCGUAUAUUAAAGUUGUUGCGGUAAAAAAGCGCGUAGUUGGAUUUCUACCGAAGAUAGCCGGUCGGGUCUUCGACCUUGUAUCUGGUUUUGUCUUUGGUAUCCUCAUAGGGAACGUUUCUGCGCUUUAUUGCGUGGUGCGGUAUCUAUGACUUUUACUUUGAGGAAAUUAGAGUGUUCACGGCAGGCAAACGCCUUGAAUAUAUUAGCAUGGAAUAAUAACAUAGGAUCUUCGUCCUAUUUUGUUGGUUUCUAGGGCUAAGAUAAUGAUUAAUAGGGAUAAUUGGGGGCAUCUGUAUCAACGCGUCAGAGGUGGAAUUCUUGGAUUGCGUUGCGACAAACUACUGCGAAAGCAUUUGCCAAGGAUGUUUUCAUUGA
This 381-nucleotide ribosomal RNA is filed under the name uncultured eukaryote. RNAcentral describes it as "partial 18S ribosomal RNA". It matches the Rfam family "Eukaryotic small subunit ribosomal RNA", at positions 592 to 976 of the family's 1831-position model. The record is from RNAcentral.